This 555-nucleotide unclassified non-coding RNA is filed under the name Hevea brasiliensis (rubber tree). The record is from RNAcentral. Lineage: Eukaryota; Viridiplantae; Streptophyta; Magnoliopsida; Malpighiales; Euphorbiaceae.
GGGUGAGUUCAAGCGCAGCCUCAAUUUCUCAAUUCUCAUUUUAUCUCGAUCUAUUUGUUAUGUGGGUUCUAUCUUACUUUGUUUGGUUACUGGAAAAAAAUAAGUAUUUUUAUAUGAUACGUUCUUGUUAUGCCGCCUAAAUCAUUUUGUUUUUUUCCGCGGAUUUCCAAGCAACCAAAGUAUUUCCAGCGUUUUGAGCUGCUUUUGCUGCUUAUUCACUUUAGAUUCUUUGGAUUAUAUAUGUUUGAAAUUAUUAGAUGAAUUGGUUUUUACAAAUUUGGAUAUUACAUUUUUCUUCUUAUUCUGUUGGUUUGAGAUAUGAGUAAUUGAUUCUUUAAAUUUCCUUAGAUUUUGGGGCUUAGGAAAACGUUCCUUUUAGUUUUCGUGGUAAUAGGGCUAUAUUUUGAUAGAAACUAUUGUUUUGCUAUUGUUUUUAUGGUACAAGUUAGCAAUUCGAUAUCAGGUUUAUGUGUAAUUGAAAAUGUUAUUGCAGUUAAUUGAGGUUUUCCUUUUAGAUGAAUUUGACAUUAUCCUUUUUCUUUUUUGAGGAUUGCA